Molecule: ribosomal RNA, 254 nt
Filed under: uncultured bacterium
Lineage: Bacteria
Description: partial 16S ribosomal RNA
Rfam family: Bacterial small subunit ribosomal RNA
Source: RNAcentral
UACGUAGGGGCCUAGCGUUGUCCGGAUUUAUUGGGCGUAAAGAGCUCGUAGGCGGUUCGGCAAGUCGGAUGUGAAAUCUCCACGCUCAACGUGGAGGGGCCAUUCGAAACUGCCGUGACUCGAGUCCGGUAGGGGAGUGUGGAAUUCCCGGUGUAGCGGUGAAAUGCGCAGAUAUCAGGAGGAACACCGGUGGUGUAGACGGCUCACUGGACCAUAACUGACGCUGAGACACGAAAGCGUGGGUAGCAAACAGG